Molecule: non-coding RNA, 2054 nt
Organism: Pogona vitticeps (central bearded dragon)
Lineage: Eukaryota; Metazoa; Chordata; Lepidosauria; Squamata; Agamidae
Source: RefSeq, a predicted model, not a curated record
UGAGCGAUAUCCCCACUUCAGAAUGUAUGGACACAGAUCUCCAAACAGCUGUCCCAAAUGCUGGCAAUUCUCCAAUCAGGGGAUCUGGAAGGAGAAAGAAUUGAUUCAUGGUCUUACCUGGCCUUUUCCUGAAGCAGCACUAAGCAAUACUCAAGUCUUGACAUUUGCUUACAAUCCUGGUGCUUGGCAGGGAGGGAAUCUAUGAUAAUGCUGGGAUUAAAAUUCCCUUGCAGGUGAACAGCUAUAAUUUAAACAGCACGGUAUCAACAACAUAUGUUAAUUAUGUAAUUUGCUUCUGGGAACCACAGAGCUUCCCUUGAUGUUGUUAAUCUCUUCUUAUCAGCUCAACUCCUUUCUGUCUUUCUUAGGAUAUGACGGCAAACUCCAAAAGGACAAGAGCAUGUCCCACGAGCCUAACAAGACACAGCAAUGCAGGACAGGUGCAAGGAAACAGAAGUGUUCUGAGAGGAAGAACUAAUCUGAGAACUUGAAUAAGUUUCCUAUGCAUGCCAGCUCACCUCUAAACCUUGCUAAGUCUCCUCCUUAAUGGUGAAAUUGCAUGGACUAUGACUAGAAAUAUUUGCAAUACAUAACGUGGUUCACUAAAGGGAGAUGGUAGUGGACUGCGGCUCCCAGCAUUCUUGACGAGGGGAUAUGCUGGCUAGGCCUGAGGGCAGUUGCCGUGCAGGGCCUCCGUUUGCCUUCCUCUGAUACCAACAGUGACCUCACAAUAAGUCAGGUUUUCUGAAAACUACAGUAGGUGGAGAAAUUUUCACAGGGCAGUAUAAUGUUGGAUGCACUUCAUCAGUGUGAUGUCUUGGGGCCCCCUAUCCUCGAUAUAUCAUUGUUCCGGCAUGGCUGACAGUGGAAUCUAAUCACUCCAAGAUUAAAAUAUGGAAAUAUCUAAGCAGGCAUGAGUACCUCUCUAAAGAAAGAAUGUCAUUUUCCUUACUCGGAGGAUAGGAUAGAUAUUAUUGAUUAAAAGAUUGGCAAUUGGCCUGACUUUAACAGAACUGAAGAGCAAGGAACCUGGCUUUGUUUCUGUGUUUCAAAACAUUUUACCAUCCUGCAUUUUGCUCGAUGAGGUGUUAGCACCCUUUAAUUUGCACUUGGGAACAGCCCUGAAGUUUUAGAAGGAACACGGGCCAUGGACAACAGAGGCAUCGGCUUUGACCAAGGACAGAAUAGGAGUACAUUCUUUUCCAGAGAAGUGAAAACUGUGUACUGGCAUCGAAGACUAAGAACGACAUAAUCUGCAGGCAGAUAAAGAGUUUGCAAAGAAUAUUAAGAGAGAAUUUGAAUGAAUGGGCAGUUUUCUGGCUUUGGGCUACAAGCCAAGGAUGUGGGAAAGUGAUAUUGUUGUAUUAGCUAAGGGCAGUGAGACUUACACUUUUUUGGAGACUGACAUUGACUUCCCAAAUGUAAUAGGGGAAAUAACAACCAAAUGUGGUUUUAGUGGUAUGUUUGUUUUCCAUGCUGAGUUUUUAAUUCAGAUACAAUAGACAACAGCUAUACUGCAAGGGUUUUCCCACCCAAUUAGGAAAUAUUUAUAGAGAAGAUCAUAUAGGAAUGCUGUUAAUUCAUGCCGAUAAAUCAAACUAUGAAAAAUCUUGCAGUUCAAAGUGGGCAUUCCUAAGGGAUGACAGGAAGACAUCAUACCCAGAAGAUAGGGGCUCCUUUCUCAUUUCCUUCUAGGUUCUGAGGGCUAAUGAUUUAUCUGGAAUUACUGUAUUCAUUACAUCAACACUGGAGGCAUUGAAGAGAAACUUAGACAAUCACCUGGCAGAUAUCCUUUGAUCUGUAUUCCUGCAUGGAGCAGGGUAUUGGACUUGGUCUAGGCUUCUCCCCAUUUCAAUAUUCUAUGAUUCUAUGAUCAUCACAGCUUUAUUGGCUGAGGGAAAAGAUUUGGGAGCAUAUGGCUGCUUAAUUGCCGAGAAGCAGAGGAGCACAACACAGAAUAAAUAGUCACCGUUAACAUAUCUUCAACAGAUCAGGUGUUUUUUAUAAGGAGGGUGAGAGUUACAUUUUGCAAAUAAUGUGAUGAAUGGGCAUAA